Molecule: ribosomal RNA, 305 nt
Filed under: uncultured bacterium
Lineage: Bacteria
Description: bacterial SSU rRNA
Rfam family: Bacterial small subunit ribosomal RNA
Source: RNAcentral
UUUCCCUACGGGACGCAGCAGUGGGGAGUAUUGCACAAUGGGGGAAACCCUGAUGCAGCGACGCCGCGUGAGCGAAGAAGUAUUUCGGUAUGUAAAGCUCUAUCAGCAGGGAAGAAAAAUGACGGUACCUGAGUAAGAAGCACCGGCUAAAUACGUGCCAGCAGCCGCGGUAAUACAUAGGGAGCAAGCGUUAUCCGGAUUUAUUGGGUGUAAAGGGUGCGUAGACGGGAAAUUAAGUUAGUUGUGAAAUCCCUCGGCUUAACUGAGGAACUGCAACUAAAACUGAUUUUCUUGAGUACUGGAGA